UACGGAGGGUGCGAGCGUUGUCCGGAAUCACUGGGCGUAAAGGGCGCGUAGGCGGCAUGCCAAGCGUGUGGUGAAAGCCCGGGGCUCAACCCCGGGUCGGCCGUGCGGACUGGCGUGCUCGAGCACUGUAGGGGCGGGUGGAAUUCCGGGUGUAGCGGUGGAAUGCGUAGAGAUCCGGAAGAACACCGGUGGCGAAGGCGGCCCGCUGGGCAGGAAGGAAGCGUAAGCUUCCGGCUGACGCUGAGGCGCGACAGCGUGGGGAGCAAACAGG
This 271-nucleotide ribosomal RNA is filed under the name uncultured bacterium. RNAcentral's name for it is "partial 16S ribosomal RNA". It matches the Rfam family "Bacterial small subunit ribosomal RNA", at positions 524 to 776 of the family's 1533-position model. RNAcentral also lists the same sequence under 1 other name. The record is from RNAcentral.